Molecule: ribosomal RNA, 253 nt
Filed under: uncultured bacterium
Lineage: Bacteria
Description: partial 16S ribosomal RNA
Rfam family: Bacterial small subunit ribosomal RNA
Source: RNAcentral
UACGUAGGGGGCAAGCGUUGUCCGGAAUCAUUGGGCGUAAAGAGCGUGUAGGCGGCCCGGUAAGUCCGCUGUGAAAGUCGGGGGCUCAACCCUCGAAUGCCGGUGGAUACUGUCGGGCUAGAGUGCGGAAGAGGCGAGUGGAAUUCCUGGUGUAGCGGUGAAAUGCGCAGAUAUCAGGAGGAACACCAAUUGCAAAGGCAGCUCGCUGGGACGUAACUGACGCUGAGACGCGAAAGCGUGGGGAGCAAACAGG